Molecule: long non-coding RNA, 193 nt
Organism: Sander lucioperca (pikeperch)
Lineage: Eukaryota; Metazoa; Chordata; Actinopteri; Perciformes; Percidae
Exons: 2
Source: RefSeq, a predicted model, not a curated record
CCUCUGCAAGUGGAGUCCCAGAAGCUGGCACCACGUAUAUUUUUGGAUUGGAGUUUCUACAUGCUCGCUGCCUCGCCACGCCAUGCCACCAGCUCUGGAUUCAUCCAGCCACCUCCCACUCCCCUCAACCUUGCCAACCAAACCAACUUACUCUGUGUCCAUAAAGAUUAAUUAAAUCUUGUUACAUCUUCAA